This is an RNA transcript of Dermacentor albipictus, 8500 nucleotides long. It is a transcript of the gene named activated Cdc42 kinase, with no coding region annotated. Lineage: Eukaryota; Metazoa; Arthropoda; Arachnida; Ixodida; Ixodidae. The record is from RefSeq and is a predicted model, not a curated record.
CGGUCAAACGUCACUUCUUGUUUUAUUUUGAUGGAACCAAUGCGCUAUGGCACAGUUGUGUAUGGGACAUAAUAGGGUUCCAGGAAACCAUAACAUGAAAUAACGAAGCUCCCUAAAGGAGUAGUUAUGUAGUUGUUUGAAUAGCAAGAAAAUUUCUUUUCUCCGUUAUUUUCCGGCAGUGCGGAUAUUGCGUCACCAUUGUCGCUACUGUGACGUCUUGUGACGCAUGUGUUUGGCUCCCGUCAAAACAAGAGCGAACGAGCGUACGUAAACGCGGUUGCAUCGUGACGCGAACGGACAGUGGGUGUUCCGCUUGCUUCAGCACGGUAGGGUGCGUACGGACUUCUCUUUCUUGCCUGCUGCGUUACCGAGAAGGGGUUGCUGAGGCACGCUGCCGACGCUGCCAGCCGCAAUUGAAUGUCGCAGGGGACGACCGCCGGAGCGAGGCUUAGAGCACUCGCGAGUUGACGGCUGGCCUCGAUCGUGUGCGGUCGGACGAGCUACCGCGGAUACUUUCAUGGCGGAUGGUCCCGUUCUGUGCUCACUAUGUAAACCACGGACGCGAUUAGGAAGUCGGCACCCCGGAAACGGGCCGCAGGAACCAGCAUGAGUGCCAGCGGUCUAGGCGGCGGCAGCAACACGCUGCGGCGGUCGGCAGGGUCGUCGGACCCGGGCGUCGCCGCCGCGGCGGGCGAGGACGCGGGUGUCGAAUGGCUUUACGAGAUCCUGCGCGAGGUGCAGCUAGAACAGUUUUUCAUGAAGAUCCGGGACGAGCUGCAGGUGACGCGACCGCGCCACUUCGACUUCGUCCAGACCGAAGACCUCGAGAAGAUUGGCAUGGGCAAGCCCGCGGCGCGUCGUCUGCUCGACACGGUCAAGAAGCACCGCGCGUCCCAGUGGAAGCGGAACCUGCUCAACCGUCUGCUUCCCGUCGGCGUCAAGGCCCGGGGCUCGUCCUCGCCACAGCAACAGCAGCCGGGAUCGUCGGUCGUGAUCGGGGCCUCGCCAACGGGCGACCUGAGCACGCUGACGUGCUUGAUCAACGAGAAGGACGUGACGCUGGCGAGCAAGCUGGGCGACGGUUCGUUCGGCGUCGUGGUGCGCGGCGAGUGGGACGCCCCGGACGGCCGCACAAUCCCCGUGGCCGUGAAGAUACUCAAAGAGGACGCUCUGUCCCAACCGGGCGCCUUCGAGGACUUCAUGAAGGAGGUGAACGCGAUGCAGCAGCUGCGCCACCCGAAUCUCAUCCAGCUGUUCGGCGUCGUGCUCAGCGCGCCGCUCAUGAUGGUCACCGAGCUGGCGCCGCUGGGCUCGCUGCGCGACUACCUGCGCAAGCAAUGCCGCCGGCUGCCGGUGUCCCGGCUCGUCGAGUACGCCGUGCAGGUGGCCAACGGCAUGGCGUUCCUCGAGUCGCGCCACUUCAUCCACCGCGACUUGGCUGCGCGCAACGUGCUCCUGGCGGCCGCCAACGCCGUCAAGAUCGGCGACUUCGGCCUCAUGCGCGCCCUGCCCAGUCACGAGGACUGCUAUGUCAUGGCCGAGCAGAAGAAGGUUCCAUUCCCGUGGUGCGCCCCAGAGAGCCUCAAGUCGCGCCACUUCUCACAUGCCAGCGACACGUGGAUGUUUGGCGUGACCCUGUGGGAGACGUUCAGCUUUGGCCAGGAGCCCUGGGUGGGGCUGAGUGGUGCGCAGAUCCUGCAGCGCAUCGACCAGCUUGGGGAGCGGCUGCCCCAGCCCGAGGCCUGCCCCGGGGACGUCUACCAGUUGAUGCUCCAGUGUUGGGCUCAUGCGCCGGCCGACCGGCCCACGUUUCCUGCACUCAAAGACUUCCUUCUCGAAGCACGGCCACCUGUGCUGCGUGCUCUGCGUGCUGUGCAAGAGAACGGCCGGCUAGAACUGGAGCCGGGCGACCUGGUGGAGGUUCUGGACGGCAGGCCCGAGCACCACUGGUGGCGGGGCCAGAGCCAGCGCACCUUCCGCAUCGGGCAGUUCCCCCGUGGUGCCUGCGAGUCCCUGUCGCGUGUCAGCCCACGCGACAUCAGCAGGCCGCUCCGAAACAGCUUCAUUCAUACGGGCCACAUGGACGUGAGCGGCCGCACCUGGGGUGACCCGGGUUCCAUUGACGAACUGUAUCUGCGCAACCCCAUGGAGCCUCCGGACCUGUUGGGCCUUCCUCCCGAGGACGACGAACCACCUCCUCCACUGGCCACACGACUGCAAGAGCUGGCGCGCCGCUCCUCGCAGAACAACCCCAUCACCAAGAGGACGACGCAGAUGCGCCAGUACAGCUACAACCGUUUCGUCGACGAGCGGACCGAUCCCAGCGAGCUGGGAAGACUGAAUGAUGACCGGGUGGCGGCGUCUCCCGUUCGUCUGCUGGCAUUGGGUGCUAAUGGGUCAUCUGAAGCCACUCCAGAGCCCGAAUCCAAACCGAGCCCUGUCAAAGAAGGAGUCCUCAUUGACCUUUGCAGUGAAAUCGACACGACCCUCCAGGUUGCACCAGAACCCGUCCGCAAGUCAACACCAGCCGGUGGGCUGACAUUCCCAAGCGUCGGGGAGUCCAUUGCGACCUACUACAAUGUCUCAUCGUCCAAUGCCGAGCGUCCCUACUACAAUGUUGGAACGCUUGAUGCCAGACCUACGUACUCCAAUCUGGACAGCUCCGAUCGAUACUACUCGUGCGUGACAGCUGAUGGUGCCGCCCCGCUGUCACGUGUCAGCAGUUGCCCCUCGCUGAGCGUUGACGAUCUGCUCUCAACGCCUAACAAUCACGGCAUGAUCGGAAGUAACAAGCCUGCUGCUGCACCACAGGGUUUGUCGUCACUGCCAGUGCCUUCGCAGCUGGACGCCUUUGACUGGCUUGAUGCCAAGAUGGAGGCUGCACGGAAAGCUCAGGCCUCCCCGAAGCACGCGUCACUGUAUGGCCGAUUGCCACCAAGCUCCAUGGGAACUACCAAGAGUGCCACAGUGUGCGGCGUGCCUUUGCUGCGGCCUCCCCCAUCACGGGACAAACGGCUUAGCAGCGGCAGCCGACUGUUCCCCAGCGAUGUGCAGGUGAUGGGCGUGGACCUCCUCCAGCAGCUUCCGCCACCUCCGACGCCCCCGCUUUCGGCACCACUUGCCCAGGUACGGCCGUUCUUGGUGAAUCCUUCAGUGGCGCCCCCACAGUCCGCCGGGUCAAGCCGUCGCGUGGACAAGGAGGAGACCAUAUUGGAGCCGGUGCUACUCCCCUCCGUGCGCGAUAGCCAAGUUCCUGCUGCUGGCUCGUCUGCGGCGGCGGCGGCAGCGCUGUCCCUUCUGCGCUCGCGUCUUCCGGGCAUCUCGGAGUCCGAGUGCCGGCGCGCGCUGGCGCUGGCCCGCGGCAACCCGCAGCUGGCGCUGCAGCAGACCCAGCUGGCACGGCUACAGUCUCUGGGCAUCGCGGGCAGGGGUGAGUGCGAGGCCGCCCUGCGCGCGUUCAACUGGGACGCCGACCAGGCUGCCUCGCACCUCCUCGACGCCAAGGACAGGGCCGCGUGAUCGCUUCCUAGGGUGUACUCGUGAUCCGCCGACUGGCGCUACGCGAGCCUCGUUGGUCUUUACGAAUGCGCGAACGGCAGCGGCGAUCUUUGACCAAGUCUUACAUCGACACCAAAAGUGCUGGCGUGCAGGAACAUCAAACGUGUCUGAACGGAGCACUGGACUCCGAAUUUCACAUUUCUAGUCUGUUCGCGAACUCCGUGUGUCUACUGAACGUUGGGUUCUGGGCACACUUGUGUGAUGGCGCCGCUCGUGGUCUGUAUGCAUCGCGUAGUCUCCGCCUUUGUCGGAACGAAACGCGAUAGAAGAUAUUUACAUCAGGCACAACUGAAGGUGUUGUCACAGUGUUUAGCUAUGUUGAAAUAAGGUGACUUGCAUUUAAUGUGCUCUUGCACCUAUACUUCGCAUUCGUGUUGUCGUCAGGGUCACGUCUGGCGAUUGCGCAUUUCGACGAACUUUAGAUCCCACCGGGUCUUAUAGGAAUCCUUGUUUUCAGUACUUCGUUCUAUGCGGAACACCAGAGCAAAUAGCGUAGCACUUACUUUGCACGGGUCACACUUUAGGUAUAAAUUUGCGUUUGCUUUAAUGCUGCAUAUUUAGCAAUAUAGUUAGAUGCAGUGAAGUGGUGCAAUACAUGCGGAGGGGUGCACUGUACUGGUAAUGGCAACGUCAGUCGUUUGAUUCAAGAAUCUCUUGUGAUUUGAGUAGUAAUUCACAACAGUUUAUAAAACAUGUAAGGCUGCUGGGAGCACAAAGGUCUAGUUAGGCAUGAAUGGGUUAGGUAAAAAAGGAACUAUUAGUAAAGAUUAAACUAUGCUGUCAGCAUAAAAGCGAAUCGCAUUUUAUUGUACUUAUCAUAAACAUGGAGGCAUCUGAUGUACACAAUUUCUUAUUGACUUAAAUUGAUUUGUUGGUAUUGUACACUUGUACAAUAGGGAGUUCCUUGCUAGUGCACAUAUUUGGAGAUGAUGCUGCUUACUCAUAUUGUCAGUUCAUCCAGGUUGGUUACAUUGCUCAUCGCAAAUUCUUUUGAAUUCGGUUUAUAUUACAAAAUAGUACUUGACACUUGAUGGCUAUGCUUUUCUUUAGACACUUGUUGGAGGUUUUGAAGCUGUCAUUCAGUUUUCAUUGAAAGGAAGGGUCUUUCAAUCUCUAAAAUGGUGCAGUGCAUAUCUGUGCUUGAUGUUUUCUUCAUUUUUCAUAAGAGUAAUAGACAUUGUGCAGAAGUUCAAAAUGUUGGCUAGCCGGGCUUGUUGGUACAAACACAUACUUCAGCAAAUAUCGCAAUAACAGGGCAUAGAAUAGGAGCUCGCAGCACAGGCGCUGACUUCCAACAGAUUUGUUUAUUGCGGGAGCGAGGAAUAUAUACAGUUUACGAUCAUAUAUAUUUCGCUCUUGCGAAAUAAACAUAUCUGUGGGAAGUCAGCGCCUGUGUCGUGUGCUCCUUUCCUGUUUCCCGUUUUUGCGCUGUUUGCUGAAGUAUUGUGCAGAAGUUUAUGUAUGCUUAAAGGUUUUCUCAUGAGUAUAUCAAGAAAAGUGGAAUUGAGGAGACAAAGCUCUCUGCGGAUUGCGUGAGGUCUUGCACCUAUAUGUGCUCAGAACAGCGAAAGUGUACAGUGCAGUCCAAUGUUGAAGGGGACACCCAAUGUGUGGCUCUCACUUUACUGGUGCUCUAGCUACAAGUGCUAGCUCAACCUAUGUAAGUGCACAGGUGUGUAGGAAAAUUCGGACGAUGCCAGACUCACAGACAAUUUGCUGAAGUGUGGGGUGAAGGCAUCAUUCGCGUGUGCUCUACACUCAAGUGUACCUUCAACAGGAUACCGCAGUGUAAAUGCAUGGCUAUGAGACGUGCUGGCUUACAAGCGUUAGUACUUGGCUAUGUGAAGAACAGGUUGCACCUGGAGCAGUCAUGCGCUUUCAGAAUACUACGAUGCACAGGCACCAAAGUUUAGUGCUACCAGUGUUGCAAGCAUUUUUAAACAACUCAGUGACCUCUAUUUAUAAAAAAAGACAAUCUAGUAAUGCGACCAAAAGAUUGUCUUGUCAAUAUACCUUUUGUCACAGUGGUGUAUGGCUGUCUGUACCUAGGAAGAGGCGCUUACAAUCUCUUCCACUUUUUUGACAGAUUUGCUAUAGAGUUCAGGGUUGAGCUGACUAGUGUGCACGUCAACAAAGGAAGAUGCCACAGGGAUGAUAGCAUGAAGUCUUGCGAUGCAUCGAGGAACUCCCAAUUUGAGCCUUGUUAAUCAAUUUAAACAACGAAGAUAUCAUUAGAUGUUGCCAUUAGGCACAUGAGGUUGAAAUAAUGCAGUGAUUUUCUAGAGUGUCUGUGUCAAAAAAAUUAGGUGCCACUUCUAUUGGCGCACAAUUGAAGAAAGUUACCUUCGGUCUGGCUCAAUGGAGUUGAUAUAGUACUGUGUCAAUGACAAUUUUACCAACUUGGGCAUCGGCUAAGAAAAAAUACAAAUACCUUUUUCUAAAUGAAAUUCCAAGAGAUUUCUUGUCUGAAAUGGAUGAAGCUAAUGAAUGGAAUUAUAGACAAUAUAAUAUUCUCAUUUGGUCUUGUGAGAGGAAGAUAGUACUGUAGACUGUGUCAAUAUAGUUGUGCUAAAAAUAGCUAUAUGAGCGUAAAAUAGCCGUACAGUCGCAAGAAAAUAGGAAAAUAUUUACCUUUGUACUUGAAUUUGAUAGAGGAGUACUUUGAGAGUUUGUAUGUUUAGAUAUAGAAAUAUGAUCGAAGCUGCCAUUACAUGUAUACAACAAUAUUUUAUUUCCUUGUGAUAAUUAAAACUUUGACAAGGCAGCUUCUGAAGUUGCACUUAAGUUGAAAAGCUAGGCUGAUUAGUAAAAAAUAGAAUACGCUGAUUAGUGAUAAGAGCACCUCAUCUGAGAAUGAUUUAUGUUGUGUCUUAUUUAGUUCACAUGAAAAUAAUUUCCAUCCGGACAGAACGAUGGGACAUCAGCACAGUUCCGCGUGUGUUGCUUCAAAUUAAACUUUUAAGAUGCAUCCCACAUUUUUUGCUGGAAUCUUUUUUGUGUAAGUACCUUUUUGCCAAGGAGACCGGCUCUUUCAAAUGCCAAAUUCUGUCUCGUAUGUAGUGCAGGGAAGAAUUAUCAGAAGCAUUGAGUCAUCAUUGUAGCCACCUACAUAAUGGUAAUUAAUAUUUGGAUGAUAGAGAUUUCGGCAUCCAUAUAUCAGCCAGUGCAACAAUAGCAUGCGGUUGUAUAAAUAUGGUUCAUGCUUUCCCCGGGACCAGUGUGAAAUUGGUGGGCUACCAGUUUGUAAGCUAAAUGUAGAUCGUACAAUCUACGUACAUAUGCUUUUCAAAUUUGCAACCUUAUUGCCGAUGCGGAUAUAAGGAAAAUGACGUGACCCAUAGUAGCUGAGAAAUGCAUAUUUGUUACAGCUGCUUCCAGCAGUUAAUUCAGUACAAACACUGAUCACAUAAGGCAUUUGGGAACAGAAAAUUUGUGUGAUGCAUAUGUUCUAGAUAUACCUUUGUGUCCGUGGAAAGCACACAGACAAUGCGCAUAAUAUAUCCUCAGGGUUACUGAAAUAUUCUCUGUGAAUACGUUUGAUGUUGUAUGUUAAUUUUUCAAGUUAUGCAUUUAUUUGUCUGAGGGCCUCAGUGCUAGUGUUUUGCCGUUCAUGCUGACUGACGCGCACCUUACUACUAUGUUUUUAUAAGACGAUCGAGCAGGUGGUAAUCUUGCUAAGCUAGGUUUAUUAAAUAAACGAACUACUCAAUAUACCAUCUAUUUAGCGUUCAUGUUUUUCAGUUUGCUAUUUGUUGCAGCUUUGGUUUGGUUGCAGAAUGGCAUUCAAUAUUUUUAUUAUUUCUUUUGAUAUAGUGGCCGCAGGAAAGGAAAGUGGAACAAAAUUUAUAAAAACGGAAACGAACACUAAGGAAAUGCAGCUUUUCUUGCCUUGUCUCCAUUUAAGCAAAUUUUUAAUUUGCGUUUCUAGUGCCAGUAGAAACUGGGGUUGGUUUGAUGAAUAUGCGUUUCGCAGUAAAAAAAAUUAAUAGUUUCCAGAUUGAGUCAUUGAUGUGAUUGUAAUACGUUCACAAAUAUAUCUUGCUGUUCUGCAGUUCAUAGUACAGGGGCAAGUGUGCCUGUGUAUGCUGAGAAUAUGUUGCAUGUAUAUUAAAGGCACUUCUUUGCUUGCGAAAGCUAGACACUCGAUCUGAAGGGCCUAGGAGAAGUUGUUUCACUGUUUAUGUGUGAAUAUUACAUCUUGUGCUGGUGCUUAUGUGCCUGCAGUAGCGGAAUAACAUCGUUAUUAUUUUUUAUUUUUCUUGUGGCAAGUUUGGUAAAUCAGCUAAUUUAUUCUGUUUAUGUGUAAAUGUGUCACUCAGAAUUACACCCAUGGUGGUACAUGUGCCACCGUUUGGCGUCGUGUGUUCAGAACUCGUACCUUGUCUACGAUUUGGCUUGCCAUGAAAGUGAGAAGUAAGGUGCUCAUGGACGCCUCGUCUUCAUUGGUGCUUCAUUAUUUGCAGACGCGGUGAAGGCGCUCCUGUGAAGGGCGCUCUAAUUGAAUACCGUUGUUCAAUCUGUUACGAUUUGUGUAUGAAAUUUGCGUUGUUUAAGAAUUGGCCAGUUACUGGGUGGUUUAAAAAUCGGCCAGUUACUGGGGGAUCAAUACUAUUUCCUUAACUUGUGCAAACAUGUCGCAGAACAUGUUCUUGUGCUGCUGUAUUUCGUUGUUUGUGCUGCUAAAGAAAACGGCUAGCUUGCUAAAGUUCAGUGCCUAAAGAGAUAAUCUCCUUGCACUGUUUUCUCGAUGCUGUUUCUAUUUUGCCUAUGUGUUUGUUGCAUUGGUUGUUGACGAAGAUGAGCUGUAUAAGUGCACUGUUAAGUGGGAGUCAGUUUUGCACUUCGUGUGCCUGUGAUAUUUAUUUAUGGCGUCUUUUUAGAAGGUUUUGCUGGGAUAUCGAUUGAACGUAGUUUUUUGUGUUGUUUAUUGUUUCGUUUGGGU